This 75-nucleotide transfer RNA is filed under the name Sutterella sp. CAG:351. RNAcentral's name for it is "transfer RNA-Arg(CCG)". It matches the Rfam family "tRNA". From Rfam's summary of the family: Transfer RNA (tRNA) molecules are approximately 80 nucleotides in length. Their secondary structure includes four short double-helical elements and three loops (D, anti-codon, and T loops). Further hydrogen bonds mediate the characteristic L-shaped molecular structure. tRNAs have two regions of fundamental functional importance: the anti-codon, which is responsible for specific mRNA codon recognition, and the 3' end, to which the tRNAs corresponding amino acid is attached (by aminoacyl-tRNA synthetases). tRNAs cope with the degeneracy of the genetic code in two manners: having more than one tRNA (with a specific anti-codon) for a particular amino acid; and 'wobble' base-pairing, i.e. permitting non-standard base-pairing at the 3rd anti-codon position. The record is from RNAcentral. Lineage: Bacteria; Pseudomonadati; Pseudomonadota; Betaproteobacteria; Burkholderiales; Sutterellaceae. RNAcentral also lists the same sequence under 7 other names.
GCCUCCGUAGUGAAACGGAUUUCACGCAGCCCUCCGAAGGCUGAAUUGAAGGUUCGACUCCUUCCGGAGGCACCA